RNAcentral lists this long non-coding RNA (242 nucleotides) under Brassica napus (rape). Its description in RNAcentral is "long non-coding RNA (BNAP_LNC011930)". The record is from RNAcentral. Lineage: Eukaryota; Viridiplantae; Streptophyta; Magnoliopsida; Brassicales; Brassicaceae.
ACUUUCUCAUUUUUAACCUGUAAACUAGAUUUUGAUCCGCGCAACCGUGCGGGUGUUUGUCUUCACUUUUCUAUACAUAAAUUAUUAUUUCAAAACAUAAUUGGUAUAUAUUGUUGUUAAAAAAAUGGUAUAUUUUUUUAACUUUAAUCAUAUACUUAAAUGUUUAUAUAACUAUUUCAAAUACAAUAAUUUUAUAAUUUACAUGUUAUAAUAAAUCAAUUGUUUAAAAUCAUAUGUAUUUG